UACGGGGGGGGCAAGCGUUGUUCGGAAUUACUGGGCGUAAAGGGCUCGUAGGCGGCCAACUAAGUCGGUUGUGAAAUCCCCAGGCUUAACCUGGGAACUGCAUCCGAUACUGGAUGGCUUGAGUCCGGGAGAGGGAUGCGGAAUUCCAGGUGUAGCGGUGAAAUGCGUAGAUAUCUGGAGGAACACCGGUGGCGAAGGCGGCAUCCUGGACCGGCAUUGACGCUGAGGAGCGAAAGCCAGGGGAGCAAGCAGG
This 253-nucleotide ribosomal RNA is filed under the name uncultured bacterium. RNAcentral's name for it is "partial 16S ribosomal RNA". It matches the Rfam family "Bacterial small subunit ribosomal RNA", at positions 524 to 776 of the family's 1533-position model. The record is from RNAcentral.